GACGAACGCUGGCGGCGUGCUUAACACAUGCAAGUCGAACGCUGAAGCUCAGCUUUUGUUGGGUGGAUGAGUGGCGAACGGGUGAGUAACACGUGAGUAACCUGCCUCCUUCUUUGGGAUAACGCCCGGAAACGGGUGCUAAUACUGGAUAUUCACUGGUCUUCGCAUGGGGGUUGGUGGAAAGGGUUUUUCUGGUGGGGGAUGGGCUCGCGGCCUAUCAGCUUGUUGGUGGGGUGAUGGCCUACCGAGGCUUUGACGGGUAGCCGGCCUGAGAGGGUGACCGGUCACAUUGGGACUGAGAUACGGCCCAGACUCCUACGGGAGGCAGCAGUGGGGAAUAUUGCACAAUGGGCGCAAGACUGAUGCAGCGACGCAGCGUGAGGGAUGGAGGCCUUCGGGUUGUGAACCUCUUUCGCUCAUGGUCAAGCCGCAACAAUGGUUGUGGUGAGGGUAGUGGGUAAAGAAGCGCCGGCUAACUACGUG
RNAcentral lists this ribosomal RNA (483 nucleotides) under uncultured bacterium. Its description in RNAcentral is "partial 16S ribosomal RNA". It matches the Rfam family "Bacterial small subunit ribosomal RNA", at positions 28 to 507 of the family's 1533-position model. The record is from RNAcentral.